Molecule: ribosomal RNA, 485 nt
Filed under: uncultured bacterium
Lineage: Bacteria
Description: partial 16S ribosomal RNA
Rfam family: Bacterial small subunit ribosomal RNA
Source: RNAcentral
GGAGAUUAUACGCAGAGGCAAUUUCGGUCAAAUCAUGUAAAAUCUUAGUGGCGGACGGGUGAGUAACGCGUGGGUAACCUGCCUUACACUGGGGGAUAACACUUAGAAAUAGGUGCUAAUACCGCAUAAGCGCACGAAGCCGCAUGGAUUUGUGUGAAAAACUCCGGUGGUGUAAGAUGGACCCGCGUCUGAUUAGCUUGUUGGCGGGGUAACGGCCCACCAAGGCGACGAUCAGUAGCCGGCCUGAGAGGGUGGACGGCCACAUUGGGACUGAGACACGGCCCAAACUCCCACGGGAGGCAGCAAUGGGGGAUAUUGGACAAUGGGGGGAACCCUGAUCCAGCGACGCCGCGUGAGUGAAGAAGUAUUUCGGUAUGUCCAGCUAAAUCAGCAGGGAAGAAAGAAAUGACAAAAAAAAACCAUGAAGCCCCGGCUAAGUGCGUACCAGCAGCCGCGGUAAUACGUAGGGGGCAAGCGUUAUCCGG